Molecule: ribosomal RNA, 301 nt
Filed under: uncultured bacterium
Lineage: Bacteria
Description: partial 16S ribosomal RNA
Rfam family: Bacterial small subunit ribosomal RNA
Source: RNAcentral
CAGCCGCCGCGGUAAUACGUAGGGUGCGAGCGUUAAUCGGAAUUACUGGGCGUAAAGCGUGCGCAGGCGGUUGUGUAAGACAGGUGUGAAAUCCCCGGGCUUAACCUGGGAACUGCGCUUGUGACUGCACAGCUAGAGUAUGGCAGAGGGGGGUGGAAUUCCACGUGUAGCAGUGAAAUGCGUAGAGAUGUGGAGGAACACCGAUGGCGAAGGCAGCCCCCUGGGCCAAUACUGACGCUCAUGCACGAAAGCGUGGGGAGCAAACAGGAUUAGAUACCCGAGUAGUCCCUGUCUCUUAUAC